RNAcentral lists this ribosomal RNA (253 nucleotides) under uncultured bacterium. RNAcentral describes it as "partial 16S ribosomal RNA". It matches the Rfam family "Bacterial small subunit ribosomal RNA", at positions 524 to 776 of the family's 1533-position model. The record is from RNAcentral.
UACGUAGGGGGCUAGCGUUGUCCGGAAUCAUUGGGCGUAAAGAGCGCGUAGGCGGCCAGAUAAGUCCGGUGUGAAAGUCAAAGGCUCAACCCUGGAAAGCCGGUGGAAACUGUCGAGCUCGAGUCCGGAAGAGGAGAGUGGAACUGCGAGUGUAGAGGUGAAAUUCGUAGAUAUUCGCAAGAACACCAGUGGCGAAGGCGGCUCACUGGCCCGGUACUGACGCUGAGGUGCGAAAGCGUGGGGAGCAAACAGG